This 253-nucleotide ribosomal RNA is filed under the name uncultured bacterium. RNAcentral describes it as "partial 16S ribosomal RNA". It matches the Rfam family "Bacterial small subunit ribosomal RNA", at positions 524 to 776 of the family's 1533-position model. The record is from RNAcentral.
UACAGAGGUCCCAAGCGUUGUUCGGAUUCACUGGGCGUAAAGGGUGCGUAGGCGGUCGGGUAGGUCUGGCGUGAAAUCUCCAAGCCUAACUUGGAAACUGCGUUGGAUACUAUCCGGCUCGAGGAAUGGAGGGGAGACUGGAAUACUUGGUGUAGCAGUGAAAUGCGUAGAUAUCAAGUGGAACACCAGUGGCGAAGGCGAGUUUCUGGACAUUUCCUGACGCUGAGGCACGAAAGCCAGGGGAGCAAACGGG